RNAcentral lists this ribosomal RNA (420 nucleotides) under uncultured bacterium. RNAcentral's name for it is "bacterial SSU rRNA". It matches the Rfam family "Bacterial small subunit ribosomal RNA", at positions 59 to 510 of the family's 1533-position model. The record is from RNAcentral.
AAGUCGAACGGAGGCCCUAGCUUGCUAGGUGUCCUUAGUGGCGCACGGGUGAGUAGCACGUGGGAACAUACCUUAUAGUACGGAAUAACUGCGGGAAACUGUAGCUAAUACCGUAUAUUCCAGCAAUGGGAAAGAUUUAUCGCUAUAAGAUUGGCCCGUCGCAAGAUUAGCUUGUUGGUGGGGUAAAAGCUCACCAAGGCUUCGAUCUUUAUCUGGUUUGAGAGGACGAUCAGCCACACUGGGACUGAGACACGGCCCAGACUCCUACGGGAGGCAGCAGUAGGGAAUAUUGGACAAUGGGGGCAACCCUGAUCCAGCAAUGCAGCGUGAGUGACGAACGCCUUAGGGUUGUAAAACUCUUUCAUCGGUGAGGAUAAAUGACAGUAGCCGAAGAAUAAGGACUCGGCUAAUUCCGUGCCA